This 327-nucleotide ribosomal RNA is filed under the name uncultured Glomeromycotina. RNAcentral describes it as "SSU rRNA". It matches the Rfam family "Eukaryotic small subunit ribosomal RNA", at positions 569 to 899 of the family's 1831-position model. The record is from RNAcentral. Lineage: Eukaryota; Fungi; Glomeromycota.
AGCAGCCGCGGUAAUUCCAGCUCCAAUAGCGUAUAUUAAAGUUGUUGCAGUUAAAAAGCUCGUAGUUGAACUUCGGGGUUUACCCAUUGGUCAGGCUUAAUUGUCUGUACUGGUGAGCUGAAUCUCUACCUUCUGAGGAACUUUCAUGCCAUUUAUUUGGUGUGAUGGGAAAUCAGGACUGUUACUUUAGAAAAAUUAGAGUGUUUAAAGCAGGCUAACGUCUGAAUACAUUAGCAUGGAAUAAUGAAAUAGGACGGAUUGAUUCUAUUUCGUGGUUUCUAGGAUCACCGUAAUGAUUAAUAGGGAUAGUUGGGGGCAUUAGUAUUC